GUGGGGAAUUUUGGACAAUGGGGGCAACCCUGAUCCAGCAAUGCCGCGUGCAGGAAGAAGGCCUUCGGGUUGUAAACUGCUUUUGUACGGAACGAAAAGGCUCUGGUUAAUACCUGGGGCACAUGACGGUACCGUAAGAAUAAGCACCGGCUAACUACGUGCCAGCAGCCGCGGUAAUACGUAGGGUGCAAGCGUUAAUCGGAAUUACUGGGCGUAAAGCGUGCGCAGGCGGUGCUGUAAGACAGGCGUGAAAUCCCCGGGCUCAACCUGGGAAUUGCGCUUGUGACUGCAGUGCUGGAGUGCGGCAGAGGGGGAUGGAAUUCCGCGUGUAGCAGUGAAAUGCGUAGAUAUGCGGAGGAACACCGAUGGCGAAGGCAAUCCCCUGGGCCUGCACUGACGCUCAUGCACGAAAGCGUGGGGAGCAAACAGGAUUAGAUACCCUGGUAGUCC
RNAcentral lists this ribosomal RNA (450 nucleotides) under uncultured bacterium. RNAcentral describes it as "partial 16S ribosomal RNA". It matches the Rfam family "Bacterial small subunit ribosomal RNA", at positions 354 to 796 of the family's 1533-position model. The record is from RNAcentral.